CGUGUAGGCGGGAAUUUAAGUAAGGUGUGAAAACUCCGGGCUCAACUUGGAGACUGCACUUUAAACUGGAUUUCUUGAGGGCAGGAGAGGAAAGUGGAAUUCCUAGUGUAGCGGUGAAAUGCGUAGAUAUUAGGAGGAACAUCAGUGGCGAAGGCGACUUUCUGGACUGCACCUGACGCUGAGGCGCGAAAGCAUGGGUAGCGAACA
This 207-nucleotide ribosomal RNA is filed under the name uncultured bacterium. RNAcentral's name for it is "partial 16S ribosomal RNA". It matches the Rfam family "Bacterial small subunit ribosomal RNA", at positions 568 to 774 of the family's 1533-position model. The record is from RNAcentral.